AUCAUCAGUCUGGAACAAAAGAUUACAAAAUCUCGCUACAUUUGCGUGUGGAUUCAGAGGGUUUUUGUAUGUAACUUCACAAAUUAUAUAAAGUUCAUUGUGAAGAUCAAAUUUUUAUAUGAUUUCAUUUUAUUUGUUUUAUUGAAAUCACUUGUUUUUACACGCUCUCCUAUCCUAUGUGGCUGAAUACAAAUCAGACAUUCUUGAAGGCUACCCUACUACAUUGUUUUGUCGCCGGCCCCUCCUCUUUUUUCCCGGGCUUGGGACCGGCUGUGACGGGAAAACCCCAUCACAGGCAGAGUUACACGACUCUACCUAUCCGUGAACAUAUAUAUAACCUAAACGCACACAUAUAAUGGGGUGAAGGAGAAGCUGAUGAUGCUAGACCAGAGAGAACAUGAAUGAGCAAUUCAGUGUCAUUUUCACAAGCAAUAUCAAAAGGGAUAAUAAAAAGUUUUAUUAUAGACAAUUUUCAUAAAAAUAUAAACAUCUUAUGCAAUGAGAAACUAAUUUCAGCAAUGGGGUCCAAAAGGGAUACCUUUUCCAUUCAAGAUCUGAGCAUUCAUACUAAUACAACCUAAGGUACCCAAAGUCGCAAAUAUUAACUGGACUAAGAAGUUCAAAUAGUUUCUAGAGAGACAUCAAGCUGUUCAUUUCAUUUCUUCUAAGACCAACAUAAUCCCCUAUUUGUUUCCUAGUGGCUAAUGUAUCAAUGCACUAUUACUUUUUCUAAUAUGAAAUAGCUGUGACGGGAAAAUCAGAUGAAGAAUCAAACAACUAGUUUCAUGGUGAAGUUCUAAUUUUAUUUUAUUUUGUUAAUAAGUUACACACAUGGAGAAUCAAACAACUAGUUUCAUGGUUGAGAGUGCUGGGAAUUUUCGAUCAUUUCAUUACUGCAUUUAAUAGAUUUGAUAAUGAAAAUCUAUGAAAAUAGCAAAUGAAAGAUAGUGAAAACAGAGGUCAGUAAUGCCAAGAGUAGUAAUCAGGAAACAUUAUGACUGAUGAGCAAGUAGAAAUCAGAAAACAAGCUAGUCAUCUCUACAAAAGAAGGCUCCCCACCAUAUUCCCAAUCGUAGUUCUACAAGAUAUGUAUUAUAUAAAUGGAAUUAUAGGAAUCUUUUAUACGACACAGAAUUCUCACCAAAAUAGAAACUCUCACCAAAAUAGCAAAGCACUUAUCUCAUUAGUUAAUUGGAGAGAGGACAUAAAACAAGAAAAUUUUAAAAUAAACACGCCAAUAUCUACAACAAAAAAGUUCAUAUAUAUGAUAUGAUAAUUAUUUCUUGAGUAUAUCAUCCGACUUCCAAGACAUCAAUCAAGAGAUGGAUUACAAAAAAAAACGUACAAUAAUCGUCAAUGUAACAACAUACUCACCAAUCAAAACAAGUUUGCAGCAAAUGAUGAAGACAGAAGAAAAAAACAAUGUUGUCUAAACAUGUUCAUGAAAUUAUACCUAAAGAACUUCUAAUGACAAAAAAACAAGAAAGCAGAACAGUAUACCCACAACAAACAGUCAAGAUGGCGAACUUCAAGUCCAACAUCUUAGGCAGAGGGAGAGGAAACACCCUCCCAAUCAAAAUAUCAUAAGCAGCAUAGAGUUUCAGACACUUCCCAAAAUUUAGAAGACCAACAAUAAUAAUCAAAUAAAAGCCUUACGAGCAAGAUCUAAGGAAGCUACACCAAAAUCUCAUCCAGCAACUUUAUCAGCAUGCAAGUACAACGAACAUUCUGCUUUAGGCACACAUUCUUGUAACUGAGGAAACCAGACAUAAAUUGAACAACCAGAGUUGAAUAACCUUAAAAAGAAGACCACAACAAUAGAAGAAAACCAGAUAUAAGUUGAACACCGGAACGCCUUCCUCUGUAAACAUUCUGCUUUAAGAACCACCACCCCAAAGAUCAGACAUCUGGAAAUUGAAGAGCAUAACAAUAAGCAAGAGGAAUGUCCAGCUAAAAGAUAAAUAACAGUAGGAAAAUAUUAUACUCCCUCUGCCACCCUCGAUAAAUAUUAUAUCAAUGUCAGCAUCAAAGAUUGGUCCAUGUCCAACAACUGGACCCGAAAACAAUAUCCACAUAACAGACAAAAACUGAUGAAGCAGACCAAAUGGGAACCAAGAAUCAAACCAAGAGGACGCCUUCCCUUGUAAACUGAGCAACCCUCAGAUCAGACUUCUGGAAAUUGAAGAGCAAAAAAAAUAAGCAAGGGGGAAAUUCAACUAGAAGAUAAAUGGCAGUAGAAAAAUAUUGUACUCCCUCUGCCACCCUCGAUAAACACUUUAAAAAUACUGUCAGCAUCAAAAAAUCCAUCCAUCCAUGUCCAACAACUAGACCAAAAUAGCCCCAUCUUAAGCUCCUUAUCUGAUCGAACUAAAACUUAUUUUGCAUCUCCUGUCACAUGGUGAGGCCAAAAACAAUAUCCACAUCUAUGUAACAAACAAAAAACUGAUCAAAUAGAACAAAAGGGAACCAAUCACCAAACCAGAACCGCUUUUCCUUCAAAAAUGGUGAAGAACCACACAAAGAUCCAUCUGAAAUGGAAGUGCAUAAACAAUAAGCAAGGGGAAAGCCCAGGAAGAAGACAAUGACAGUAGAAAAAUAUUAUACUCCCUCUACAAUGCUUCACGUCCAACAACCAGACCAAGAUAGCCCCACCUUAAGCUCCGACUUUGGUAGAAUCAAAACUUAUUUUGUAUCUCCUGUCAAAGGGUGGGACCAAAAACAAUAUACACAUGUACGUAACAAACAAAAAAUAGAUUAAACAGAGCAAAAGGGAACCAAGCACCAAACCAGAACCGCCUUCCCACGAGAACUGGUUAAUUAGAACCCAAAGAUCAAACAUUUGAAGAUUAAAGAGCAUAACAAUAAGCAAAGGGAAAAAGUUCACCUAGAAGAUAAAUCACAAUAGAAAAAUAAUAUACUCCUGUUGACACCCACCAUAAACACUAUACCAAUGGCAGCAUCCAAGAUUGGUCCAUAUCCAAAUAACCAGACCAAGAUAGCCUCACCUUAAAUACCUAACUUUGAUGGAAUCAAAACCAAUUUUGUAUCUCCUGACACAGGGUGAGGCAGAAAACAAGGUCCAAGUCUACGUAACAAAAUAAAACUAUAAUAGAGAGCAAAGAUAACCAAGGAUCAAACCAGAACAGUCUUCCACAGAAGCCUGAUUAAGAAACACACAACGAUCCGGCAUCUGGAAAUUGAAAAGAAUAACGAUAAGCAAGGGAAAGUUUAGGUAGAAUAUAAAAUUUAGUAAAAAAGUUACAAUACUAUACUCCCUAUGCAACCCUUGAUAAACACUAUAUCAAUGACAGCGUCAAAGGUUGCUCCGUGUCCAACAAUCAGACCAAGAUUGCACCACCAUAAGCUCCUACUUUGAUAGAAUCAAAACUUAAUUUAUAUUUUGUGUCAUAGGGUGAUGCAGAAAACAAUAUCCACGCCAACGUAACAAACAAAAAACUGAUGAAAGAGAAAAAAGAUAACAAAGCAUCAAACCGAACAGCCUUCCAAUUAAGAACCACAACGAUCAGAAAUCUGAAAAUUGAAGAGUAUAACGACAAGCACCGGAAACUCUAGGUAGAAGAGAAAAUAUAGUAGAAGAAAAUGUAGUAUAACAAUCUGCAUCCCUCAAUAAACAUUAUAUCAAUUGACAUCUUAUAUUAGUCCGCAUCCAACAACCCCACCAAGUUGGCCCCCACCUUAAGCUCCCACUUUGAUAGAAUAAAACUGAAUUUGUAUCUCCUGUCACAGGGUGAGGGCGAAAAAAAUAUCAAAGUCUACGUAACAAAAAAAAAAAAACUAUAAUAGAGAACACAGACAACCAAGCGUCAAACAAGAACUGCCUUUCAGAGAAGCUUGAUUAAGAACAAAACAGCAACCAAAGAUUUGUCCAUGUCCAAAAACCAGACCAAGAUAGCCCCCACCUUAAGCUCCUACUUUGAUAGAAUCAAAACCUAUUUUGUAUCUCCUGUCACAGGGUGAGGCUGAAAACAACAUCCAAGUCUACAUAACAGCAAAAGAACUAUAAUUGAGAGAGCAAAGAUAACCAAUUAUCAAACCCGAACUGCCUUCCAGUUAAACUUGAUUAAGAACCACAUAAUGAACAGGCAUCUGGAAAUGGAAGAGAGACUAACAAUAACCACAGGAAAGUCUAGAUGGAAGAUAAAUUGUAGUAGAAAAAAAUACUAUAUUAUACUCCCUCUGCCAUCCUCGAUAAACACUAUAAUUGACAGCGUCAAAGGUUGAUCUGUGGCCAAUAUAACUAAACCAAGAUUAGCCCCACCUUGAGCUCCUACUUUGAUAAAAUCAAAACAAAAUUUUUAUCAUCUGCCAUAGGAUGAGGCAGAAAUACAAUAUACACGUAUACGUAACAAACAAAAAAACUGAUGAUAGAGAGAAAAGAUAAACCCAGCAUCAAACCAGAAGUGCCUUCAAGUAAAGAACACCUGGAAAUUGAAGAGUAUAACGAUAAGUAUAGGAAACUCAAGGUAAAAGAGAAAACGUAAAAAAAAAAAAAAUAACUAUACUGUACACCAUCUGCCACCCUCGACAAACACUAUAUCAAUGAUGGCAUCAUAGAUUAGUCCAUAUCCAAAAACCAGACCAAGAUAACCCCCACCUUAAGCUUCAACUUUGAUAGAAUCAAAACCUAUUUUGUCUCCUGGCACAGGGUGAGGACCAAAACAUUGUCCAAGUCUACAUAACAAAUAAACAAUAAUUACAGAGCAAAGGUGACCAAUUAGCAAACCAGAACAGCCUUCCCGUGAAGCUUGAUUAAAAACCACACAGCGAUCAGGCAUCUGGAAAUUGAUGAGAACAACGGUAAGCAUGGGAAAGUCUAGGUAGAAGAUAAAAGAUAGUAAAAAAAAAAAAAACUAUUCUAUACUCUCUUUGCCAGGCCCACACCACUAUAUCAAUGACAGCAUCAAAGGUAGAUCCGUGUUCAAUAACCAGGCCAACAUUAGCCACACCAUAAGCUCCUUCUUUCAAAACUUAAUUUUUAUCUCCUAUCAUAGGGUGAGGCAGAGAACAAUAUCCACGUCUACAUAACAACAAAAAAUUGUUGAAACUGACAAAAGAUAACCAAGAAAACAAGAAGUGCCAUCCAUUAUGGAAAUUGAAGAGUAUAACUAUAAACACGGGAAACUCUAGGUAGAAGAGAAAAUGUAGUAGAAAAAAAAAAUACUAUUAUGUAUUUCCUUUGCGACCCUCGAUUUACAAUAUACCAAUGAUAACAUCAAAGAUCUGUCCGCGUCCAAAAACCAGACCAAGAUAGCCCCCACAUUAAGCUCCUACAGUGAUGGAAUCAAAACCUAUUUUGUAUCUCCUGUCACAGGGUAGGCCCAAAACAAUAUCCAAGUCUAUAUAACAACAAAAGAAAUAUAAUAGAGAGAUCAAAUGCAACCAAUUAUGAACCCAGAACUGCCUUCCAGUUAAGCUUGAUUAAGAACCACACAACGAUCAGGCAUCUGGAAAUUGAAGAGAAUAACAAUAAGCACGGGAAAGUCAAGAUGGAAGAUAAAUUGUAGCAGAAUUAAUACAAUACUAUACUCCCUCUGACACCCUCGAUAAACAUUAUAUCAGUGACAGCAUCAAAAGUUGAUAUGUCUCCAAUAACUAGACCAAGAUUAGCCCCACCAUAAGCUGCUUCUUUCACAACUUAAUUUUUAACCCCUGUCACAAGGUGAGGCAGAAAACAAUAUCCACGUCUACGUAACAAAUAAAAGAUUGUUGAAACUGACAAAAGAUAACCAAGCAUACCAGAAGUGCCUUCCAGUUAAGAACCACACAACAAUCAGACAUCUGGAAAUUGAAGAGUAUAACUAUUAGCACGGGAAACUCUAGGUAGAAGAGAAAAUGUAGUAGAAAAAAAAUACUAUUAUGUACUCCAUGUACUCCCUUUACCACCCACAUUAAACUAUAUCAAUGACAGCAUGAAGGAUUUGUCAGUGUACCAAAAACCAGACCAAGACACGCCCCCACCUUAAGCUCCUACUUUGAUAGAAUCAGAACCUAUUUUGUAUCUCCUAUCACAGGGUGAGGCUGAAACCAACAUCGAGUCUAAAUAACAACAAAAGAACUACAAUAGAGAGAGCAAAGGUAACCAACUAUCAAACCCGAACUGCCGUCCAGUAAGCUUGAUUAAGAACCACACAACGAUCGGGCAUCUGGAAAUGGAAGAGAAUAACGAUAAGCACCGGAAGGUCUAGAUGGAAGAUAAAUUGUAUUAGAAGAAAUACUAUACUAACUCCCUCUGCCACCCUCGAAAAACAUAUCAUGACCAUCAAAGGAUUGAUUGUGUGCAAUAACUGACUAAGAUUAGCCCUACCUUAAGCCCUACUUUGAUAAAAUUAAAACUUAAUUUUUAUCUCAUGUCAUAGGGUGGGGCAGAAAACAAUAUCACGUCUAUGUACAAACAAAAAUUGUUGAAAUGACAAAAGAUAACCAAACAUCAAACCAGAAGUGUCAUCCAGUUAAGAACCACCCCACGAUCAGACAUCUGGAAAUUGAAGAGUAUAUCUAUAAGCACGGGAAACUCUAGGUAGAAGAGAAAAUGUAUAGAAAUAAAAAUACUAUUAUGUACUCCCUUUGCCACCCUCGAUUAACACAAUAUCAAUGACUCAUCAAAGAUCUGUCCGCGUCCAAAAACCAGACCAAGAUAGCCCCCACAUUAAGCUCCUACAGUGAUGGAAUCAAAACCUAUUUUGUAUCUCCUGUCACAGGGUAGGCCCAAAACAAUAUCCAAGUCUAUAUAACAACAAAAGAAUAUAAUAGAGAGAUCAAAUGCAACCAAUUAUGAACCCAGAACUGCCUUCCAGUUAAGCUUGAUUAAGAACCAAACAACGAUCAGGCAUCUGGAAAUCGAAGAGAAUAACAAUAAGCACGGGAAAGUCAAGAUGGAAGAUAAAUUGUAGCAGAAUUAAUACAAUACUAUACUCCCUCUGACACCCUCGAUAAACAUUAUAUCAGUGACAGCAUCAAAAGUUGAUGUCUCCAGUAACUAGACCAAGAUUAGCCCCACCAUAAGCUGCUUCUUUCACAACUUAAUUUUUAACUCCUGUCACAAGGUGAGGCAGAAAACAAUAUCCACGUCUACGUAACAAAUAAAAGAUUGUUGAAACUGACAAAAGAUAACCAAGCAUACCAGAAGUGCCUUCCAGUUAAGAACCACACAACAAUCAGACAUCUGGAAAUUGAAGAGUAUAACUAUUAGCACGGGAAACUCUAGGUAGAAGAGAAAAUGUAGGUAGAAAAAAAAUACUAUUAGUACUCCCUUUACCACCCACUAUUAACACUAUAUCAAUGACAGCAUGAAGGAUUUGUCAGUGUCCAAAAACCAGACCAAGACAGCCCCCACCUUAAGCUCCUACUUGAUAGAAUCAGAACCUAUUUUGUAUCUCCUAUCACAGGGUGAGGCUGAAACCAACAUCCGAGUCUAAAUAACAACAAAAGAACUACAAUAGAGAGAGCAAAGGUAACCAACUAUCAAACCCGAACUGCCGUCCAGUUAAGCUUGAUUAAGAACCACACAACGAUCGGGCAUCUGGAAAUGAAGAGAAUAACGAUAAGCACCGGAAGGUCUAGAUGGAAGAUAAAUUGUAUAGAAGAAAUACUAUACUAUACUCCCUCUGCCACCCUCGAUAAACACACUAUAUAGUGACCACGUCAAAGGAUUGACUUGUGUGCAAUAACUUGACUAAGAUUAGCCCUACCUUAAGCUCCUACUUGAUAAAAUUAAAACUUAAUUUUUAUCUCAUGUCAUAGGGUGGGGCAGAAAACAAUAUCCACGUCUAUGUAGCAAACAAAAUUGUUGAACUGACAAAAGAUAACCAAACAUCAAACAGAAGUGUCUCCAGUUAAGAACCACCCCACGAUCAGACAUCUGGAAAUUGAAGAGUAUAUCUAUAAGCACGGGAAACUCGAGGUAGAAGAGAAAAUGUAGUAGAAUAAAAAUACUAUUAUGUACUCCCUUUGCCACCCUCGAUUAACACAAUAUCAAUGACUACAUCAAAGAUCUGUCGCGUCCAAAAACCAGACCAAGAUAGCCCCCACAUUAAGCUCCUACAGUGAUGGAAUCAAAACCUAUUUUGUAUCUCCUGUCACAGGGUAGGCUCAAAACAAUAUCCAAGUCUAUAUAACAACAAAAGAAAUAUAAUAGAGAGAUCAAAUGCAACCAAUUAUGAACCCAGAACUGCCUUCCAGUUAAGCUUGAUUAAGAACCAAACAACGAUCAGGCAUCUGGAAAUCGAAGAGAAUAACAAUAAGCACGGGAAAGUCAAGAUGGAAGAUAAAUUGUAGCAGAAUUAAUACAAUACUAUACUCCCUCUGACACCCUCGAUAAACAUUAUAUCAGUGACAGCAUCAAAAGUUGAUAGUCUCCAUAACUAGACCAAGAUUAGCCCCACCAUAAGUGCUUCUUUCACAACUUAAUUUUUAACCCCUGUCACAAGGUGAGGCAGAAAACAAUAUCCACGUCUACGUAACAAAUAAAAGAUUGUUGAAACUGACAAAAGAUAACCAAGCAUACCAGAAGUGCCUUCCAGUUAAGAACCACACAACAUCAGACAUCUGGAAAUUGAAGAGUAUAUCUAUAGCACGGGAAAUUCUAGGUAGAAGAGAAAAUGUAGUAGAAAAAAAAUACUAUUAUGUACUCCCUUUCCACCCCGAUUAAACAUAUCAAUGACCAUAAGAUUGUCGGUCCAAAAACCAGACCAAGACAGCCCCCACCUUAAGCUCCUACUUUGAUAGAAUCAGAACCUAUUUUGUAUCUCCUAUCACAGGGUGAGGCUGAAACCAACAUCGAGUCUAAAUAACAACAAAAGAACUACAAUAGAGAAAGCAAAGGUAACCAACUAUCAAACCCGAACUGCCGUCCAGUUAAGCUUGAUUAAGAACCACACAACGAUCGGGCAUCUGGAAAUGGAAGAGAAUAACGAUAAGCACCGGAAGGUCUAGAUGGAAGAUAAAUUGUAUUAGAAGAAAUACUAUCUAUACUCCCUCUGCCACCCUCGAUAAACACACUAUAUCAGUGACCACGUCAAAGGAUUGACUUGUGUGCAAUAACUUGACUAAGAUUAGCCCUACUUAAGCUCCUACUUUGAUAAAAUUAAAACUUAAUUUUUAUCUCAUGUCAUAGGGUGGGGCAGAAAACAAUAUCCACGUCUAUGUACAAACAAAAUUGUUGAAAUGACAAAAGAUAACCAAACAUCAAACCAGAAGUGUCUCCAGUUAAGAACCACCCAGAUCAGACAUACUGGAAAUUGAAGGUAUAUCUAUAAGACACGGAAAUUGGUAGAAGAGAAAAUUAAGUAGAAUAAAAACUAUUAUGUACUCCCUUUGCCACCCUCGAUUAACACAAUAUCAAUGACUCAUCAAAGAUCUGUCCGCGUACCAAAAACCAGACCAAGAU
This 9406-nucleotide long non-coding RNA is filed under the name Salvia miltiorrhiza (redroot sage). Its description in RNAcentral is "long non-coding RNA (SMIL_LNC005898)". The record is from RNAcentral. Lineage: Eukaryota; Viridiplantae; Streptophyta; Magnoliopsida; Lamiales; Lamiaceae.